This 253-nucleotide ribosomal RNA is filed under the name uncultured bacterium. Its description in RNAcentral is "partial 16S ribosomal RNA". It matches the Rfam family "Bacterial small subunit ribosomal RNA", at positions 524 to 776 of the family's 1533-position model. The record is from RNAcentral.
GACGUAGGGCGCGAGCGUUGUCCGGAUUUAUUGGGCGUAAAGAGCUCGUAGGCGGUCUGUCGCGUCGGCUGUGAAAACACGGGGCUCAACUCCGUGCCUGCAGUCGAUACGGGCAGACUAGAGUUCGGUAGGGGAGACUGGAAUUCCUGGUGUAGCGGUGAAAUGCGCAGAUAUCGGGAGGAACACCAAUGGCGAAGGCAGCUUGCUGGGACGGUACUGACGCUGAGACGCGAAAGCGUGGGGAGCAAACAGG